ACGAGGUGUGCUAGCGUUGUUCGGAAUUACUGGGCAUAAAGGGUGCGUAGGCGGCGCGGAAAGUCAGUUGUGAAAUCCCUCGGCUUAACCGGGGAAUCGCUUCUGAAACUACCAUGCUUGAGGCCGGAAGAGGCAAGCGGAAUUCCAGGUGUAGCGGUGGAAUGCGUAGAUAUCUGGGAGAACGCCAAAGGCGAAGGCAGCUUGCUGGGCCGGUUCUGACGCUGAGGCACGAAAGCUAGGUGAGCAAACAG
RNAcentral lists this ribosomal RNA (251 nucleotides) under uncultured prokaryote. Its description in RNAcentral is "partial 16S rRNA". It matches the Rfam family "Bacterial small subunit ribosomal RNA", at positions 525 to 775 of the family's 1533-position model. The record is from RNAcentral.